AACGAACGCUGGCGGCAUGCCUAACACAUGCAAGUCGAACGAUACCUUCGGGUCUAGUGGCGCACGGGUGCGUAACGCGUGGGAACCUGCCCUUAGGUUCGGAAUAACUCCCCGAAAGGGGUGCUAAUACCGGAUAAUGUCUUCGGACCAAAGAUUUGUCGCCUUUGGAUGGGCCCGCGUUGGAUUAUUUGGUUGGUAGUGUAAAAGCCUACCAAGGCGACGAUCCAUAGCUGGUCUGAGAGGAUGAUUAGCCACACUGGGACUGAGACACGGCCCAGACUCCUACGAGAGGCAGCAAUGGGGAAUAUUGGACAAUGGGCGAGAGGCUGAGCCAGCAAUGCCGCGUGAGUGAUGAAGGCCUUAGGGUUGUAAAGCUCUUAUGCCCGGGAUGAUAAUGACAGUACCGGGAGAAUAAGCUCCGACUAACUCCGUG
This 433-nucleotide ribosomal RNA is filed under the name uncultured bacterium. RNAcentral describes it as "partial 16S ribosomal RNA". It matches the Rfam family "Bacterial small subunit ribosomal RNA", at positions 29 to 507 of the family's 1533-position model. The record is from RNAcentral.